AGUGAACGCUGGCGGUAGGCCUAACACAUGCAAGUCGAACGGCAGCACAGUAAGAGCUUGCUCUUACGGGUGGCGAGUGGCGGAUGGGUGAGGAAUACAUCGGAAUCUACUUUUUCGUGGGGGAUAACGUAGGGAAACUUACGCUAAUACCGCAUACGUCCUACGGGUGAAAGCAGGGGUUCUUCGGACCUUGCGCGAUUGAAUGAGCCGAUGUCGGAUUAGCUAGUUGGCGGGGUAAAGGCCCACCAAGGCGACGAUCCGUAGCUGGUCUGAGGGGAUGAUCAGCCACACUGGAAGUGAGACACGGUACAGACUCCUACGGGAGGAAGCAGUGGGGAAUAUUGGACAAUGCGCGCAAGCCUGAUCCAGCCAUACCGUGUGGGGGAAGAAGGCCUUCGGGUUGUAAAGCCCUGUUGUUGGGAAAGAAAAGCAGCAGGUUAAUACCCCGCUGUUCUGACGGUACCCAAAGAAUAAGCACCGGCUAACUUCGUG
This 492-nucleotide ribosomal RNA is filed under the name uncultured bacterium. RNAcentral describes it as "partial 16S ribosomal RNA". It matches the Rfam family "Bacterial small subunit ribosomal RNA", at positions 29 to 507 of the family's 1533-position model. The record is from RNAcentral.